GAACGAUGAAGCCUAGCUUGCUAGGUGGAUUAGUGGCGAACGGGUGAGUAAUACGUGAGUAACCUACCUUUAACUCUGGGAUAAGCCUGGGAAACUGGGUCUAAUACCGGAUACGACCAAUCUCCGCAUGGGGUGUUGGUGGAAAGCGUUAUGUAGUGGUUAUAGAUGGGCUCACGGCCUAUCAGCUUGUUGGUGAGGUAACGGCUCACCAAGGCGACGACGGGUAGCCGGCCUGAGAGGGUGACCGGCCACACUGGGACUGAGACACGGCCCAGACUCCUACGGGAGGCAGCAGUGGGGAAUAUUGCACAAUGGGCGCAAGCCUGAUGCAGCGACGCCGCGUGAGGGAUGACGGCCUUCGGGUUGUAAACCUCUGUUAGCAGGGAAGAAGAGAGAUUGACGGUACCUGCAGAGAAAGCGCCGGCUAACUACGUGCCAGCAGCCGCGGUAAUACGUAGGGCGCGAGCGUUGUCCGGAAUUAUUGGGCGUAAAGAGCUUGUAGGCGGUUUGUCGCGUCUGCUGUUAAAGGCCGGAGCUUAACUCCGUGUAUUGCAGUGGGUACGGGCAGACUAGAGUGCAGUAGGGGAGACUGGAAUUCCUGGUGUAGCGGUGGAAUGCGCAGAUAUCAGGAGGAACACCGAUGGCGAAGGCAGGUCUCUGGGCUGUAACUGACGCUGAGAAGCGAAAGCAUGGGGAGCGAACAGGAUUAGAUACCCUGGUAGUCCAUGCCGUAAACGUUGGGCACUAGGUGUGGGGAACAUUCCACGUUUUCCGCGCC
RNAcentral lists this ribosomal RNA (778 nucleotides) under uncultured Rothia sp. RNAcentral's name for it is "bacterial SSU rRNA". It matches the Rfam family "Bacterial small subunit ribosomal RNA", at positions 64 to 847 of the family's 1533-position model. Lineage: Bacteria; Bacillati; Actinomycetota; Actinomycetes; Micrococcales; Micrococcaceae. The record is from RNAcentral.